RNAcentral lists this long non-coding RNA (2160 nucleotides) under Hordeum vulgare. RNAcentral's name for it is "long non-coding RNA (HVUL_LNC001346)". Lineage: Eukaryota; Viridiplantae; Streptophyta; Magnoliopsida; Poales; Poaceae. The record is from RNAcentral.
CCCACUGAAGGUGUUGUCUGUUCUGGAUGCGCCGGCACUCCCUAAAGCUGGUGACUUGCCAAUACAAGCGAGGCUCCAGCAAGACCAUGACGUCCGCUGUUGCCGCUCAGGUAAAAACUAACCUCCUUUGUUUGAUGAAUAUGUAGAACUUUUUGUGAUUCAAUUCCACUGUACCACGAGGGGCACCAUAAUCAGUAUUUUGCCGAAAUUAAUGGCACGGGAAAGUACAUCUUCGUUUUCUGAAAAAUAGAACAAGAUCGCAGUGAGCCCUCAUAAAAGUAAACUCCAAAAGGAGAAACUUAGAGCAUCUCUAUCAGACCCCAUAUAAAGCCGAUCCGUAAAAAUCGUUUGCAGUUCGCGGAAAAAUACUUUUGCGGACCGACGUGGCUCUGUUCGGCCGCCGUUCAUGCCACCCUUAUUACAUUUUUAGGCAUGAAAACAUAUUUUGUUGUUUUUUUAUUUUCUUUAAACGCAUUAGAUACAUCAUAAUUCAUCAAAUCUUUGCUAAAACAGCAAGACUAAAGAAAACAAGAACUACAAUUAGACAUUUUAGAAGAUAUCUAAUUUUGAUAACUGCUCCCACUAGUUGGAUCACCAUCUUCUCCAUGCAUUUAUUGUUGAUUUGGAGGUUCUUCAUAUUGCAUUUUUCAUUCUUCGUCUUUGAUUCUAAAGAAUUAGACGUUGCUUCCCGUUUAAUUUCUUUUCUAAUUGCACAUGCAGCUUCAUCAUUAGGCUCAAUUAUACUAAGGAGUGCACGAAUAUUUGUUAAGUUUAUUUCUAUCAAUAGAUCGAUGUAUUUUUCUUUUCAAUACCAAAAUGAGCAUCCACCUUUCUAAAUAGAUGAACACCUCAAUAAGCUACCGUGAUUUAACCAAAUAAGUUGACAGAGCCGAAGAGGAAGAAGAGCGUACCCCGUCGUUUUUGUAUUUGAAGAAUACCCAUCUGAGGUGCUGCCGUGUGUUGGAUGUGAGCCGCAACACUGUUUCUAGGCAGUCGCCGCACUGUAUGAGCGGCAUCGGCAAGCCGGCGAGCCGUUGCAUGACCAUCGAGCCCGGACGACGGUCGAAAGAGUCCUUGCCGACAAACCAACAUCGACGACUAGAGGAUGAACCAGCACCUGCAUGCGGCGUUAGUGCUUUGUCGGGGCUGUGCGGGGUGCUCCCCGACCAAUCCAUGGCUUUGGCGCAGCUGCCAGUGGCCGGAAAAGUCAAAUUCGGUGGUCACGACAAAACAACCGCCGAUAUGUACCUUGUCGGUGAGCCGAGGCAUGAGGGCGUGGGGGAGAUCGAUCUAGGGCAGGCAGCGGCCCACCGGCGUGAUCCCGACGGCUGGUGUGGCCGAAAUCGAAGGCGGCAUCCGAUAACGGUGGGUGAGGGAAAAGCGCGGGUGAAAUAUCCCAUCAACCAACCGCUUCUAGAUAUAUACAGGACAUCGACGGGGCGGGGUGGAGAACCUGCGUUUACGUGGGUUAGGGUGUGCAUUUUGCCGUGCCCCGCAAAAAAAUUACUGGUCGGACGCGGUUGUGAGGUCUGGUCUGACAGCAUUUUUUGUCCCUACCUGUAUUUUGAUGAUUAUUUUGUGGGUUUGGCCCUUUUACGGAGUCCGCUAGGGAUGUUCUUGUAACUUCACUACAUAACUAUAGCAGGAGCAACAUUACUGAUUUCAUCCUCACGGUCUCGUCAUUUACAAUAAGCCUAGUUGGAAAAUGUCAUGUCUGGCUGUCGACGUUGCUGACAUGGUGCACCAUCCCACAGUAUCGGUGAACCGUUGUCGGAGUUGAACUUAUUGAUGUACAGUGACGGAAUUGUAUCCCUAAGGCCUGAACGAAGUGAGCAUUUUCCUGUUUGUUUAUCUAGCCUCUCAUUCUUAACUUAGGAAUACAAAUGAAAAUAAUAGAUACCUGAGAAAGAGGGUGAAGACUAAACAAAGAGAAAACAAGAUACCAAAUGGAAAAUAGAAAGCGAAAAGUGAAUAAAGAGAAACCAAAGACUCAAGAAAAUACAGAGUAAGAACAAACGCCGAGGACCUAGCACAUAAUAGCCAAGUCUCGAGUGAGUGUUGAUACUCAGGUGAGUGAUUUAACACUGGAGUACUAAUUAUCACUAAUCAUCGAGUUGUGUAUAUUGUAUAAAACACUUGGUCGAGUGAUCGCCUUUAGAU